This 439-nucleotide ribosomal RNA is filed under the name uncultured bacterium. RNAcentral describes it as "partial 16S ribosomal RNA". It matches the Rfam family "Bacterial small subunit ribosomal RNA", at positions 339 to 795 of the family's 1533-position model. The record is from RNAcentral.
CUACGGGAGGCACCAGUGGGGAAUAUUGCACAAUGGACGAAAGUCUGAUGCAGCAACGCCGCGUGGAGGAUGACACAUUUCGGUUCGUAAACUCCUUUUAUAUAGGAAGAUAAUGACGGUACUAUAUGAAUAAGCGCCGGCUAACUCCGUGCCAGCAGCCGCGGUAAUACGGAGGGCGCAAGCGUUACUCGGAAUCACUGGGCGUAAAGAGCGUGUAGGCGGAUAGAUAAGUCAGGAGUGAAAUCCUAUGGCUCAACCAUAGAACUGCUCUUGAAACUGUCUAUCUAGAAUAUGGGAGAGGUAGAUGGAAUUUCUGGUGUAGGGGUAAAAUCCGUAGAGAUCAGAAGGAAUACCGAUUGCGAAGGCGAUCUACUGGAACAUUAUUGACGCUGAGACGCGAAAGCGUGGGGAGCAAACAGGAUUAGAUACCCCUGUAGUC